CGGCAACGGAUAUCUCGGCUCUCGCAUCGAUGAAGAACGUAGCGAAAUGCGAUACUUGGUGUGAAUUACAGAAUCCCGUGAACCAUCGAGUCUUUGAACGCAAGUUGCGCCCGAAGCCAUCAGGCCGAGGGCACGCCUGCCUGGGCGUCACACGUCGUUGCCCCC
This 165-nucleotide ribosomal RNA is filed under the name Malus toringoides. RNAcentral describes it as "5.8S ribosomal RNA". The stretch from base 3 to 150 matches the Rfam family "5.8S ribosomal RNA". From Rfam's summary of the family: 5.8S ribosomal RNA (5.8S rRNA) is a component of the large subunit of the eukaryotic ribosome. It is transcribed by RNA polymerase I as part of the 45S precursor that also contains 18S and 28S rRNA. Lineage: Eukaryota; Viridiplantae; Streptophyta; Magnoliopsida; Rosales; Rosaceae. The record is from RNAcentral.